GGGCUCGUAGCUCAGUGGUUAGAGCACCUGUCUUAUAAGCAGGCGGUCGUGGGUUCAAAACGUGAAAGGAAAUUGCGUGAAAAUCCCAUCGAGCCCA
Molecule: transfer RNA, 97 nt
Filed under: Nanobdellota archaeon
Lineage: Archaea; Nanobdellati; Nanobdellota
Description: tRNA-Ile
Rfam family: tRNA
About the family: Transfer RNA (tRNA) molecules are approximately 80 nucleotides in length.
Source: RNAcentral